This 301-nucleotide ribosomal RNA is filed under the name uncultured bacterium. Its description in RNAcentral is "partial 16S ribosomal RNA". It matches the Rfam family "Bacterial small subunit ribosomal RNA", at positions 509 to 807 of the family's 1533-position model. The record is from RNAcentral.
CAGUCGCCACGGUAAUACAGAGGAUGCAAGCGUUAUCUGGAAUUAUUGGGCGUAAAGGGCUCGCAGGCGGUUUCUUAAGUCUGAUGUGAAAGCCCCCGGCUCAACCGGGGAGGGUCAUUGGAAACUGGGAAACUUGAGUGCAGAAGAGGAGAGUGGAAUUCCACGUGUAGCGGUGAAAUGCGUAGAGAUGUGGAGGAACACCAGUGGCGAAGGCGACUCUCUGGUCUGUAACUGACGCUGAGGAGCGAAAGCGUGGGGAGCGAACAGGAUUAGAUACCCCCGUAGUCCCUGUCUCUUAUAC